UCUCCCUCUUCGUCUCUGAAGAACAGAGACCAAACGAACCCCACCAAACCCUAGCCGCCACUGAACACCUUCUCUUGGAACCUGGCAGCAACGGCGCAGCUGGCCACCCAAAUAACAUCCCUAAACCCUCAAACCACCCUCUCCAUGAAUCUGUUCUCUGUUAACCUUGAAUCAUCCUAUAACUUCUCGAAUCUUCGAUCAAAGACCAGCCCCAAAAAAUCUAGUUGGCCCGUUUGACCCAAAACUUACACCUAAUAAUCCCCUUGGCCUCCUCGUCUCUAAUCCCUAACCAAUUUGGUUCAAAUCUGAGUUAAACUCGCCGAAUGGUAAAUCUAAGGUUCAAUGGUUCUAGGCUAUUUCGAAAUUGUCAAG
This 372-nucleotide long non-coding RNA is filed under the name Nicotiana benthamiana. Its description in RNAcentral is "long non-coding RNA (NBEN_LNC004513)". Lineage: Eukaryota; Viridiplantae; Streptophyta; Magnoliopsida; Solanales; Solanaceae. The record is from RNAcentral.